GCUGUGGUAGCUCAGUUGGCAGAGCAGCUGAUUCGUAAUCAGCAGGUCGUGGGUUCGAAUCCCACCCUCAGCUCCA
This 76-nucleotide transfer RNA is filed under the name Clostridia bacterium. RNAcentral describes it as "tRNA-Thr". It matches the Rfam family "tRNA". Rfam says of the family: Transfer RNA (tRNA) molecules are approximately 80 nucleotides in length. Their secondary structure includes four short double-helical elements and three loops (D, anti-codon, and T loops). Lineage: Bacteria; Bacillati; Bacillota; Clostridia. The record is from RNAcentral.